This 117-nucleotide small RNA is filed under the name Marmota monax (woodchuck). The record is from RNAcentral. Lineage: Eukaryota; Metazoa; Chordata; Mammalia; Rodentia; Sciuridae.
GCCAAACCUAAUGGCAUGCACCUGUAGUCCCAUCUACUUGGGAGGCUGAGGCAGGAGGAUUGCUUGAGCUCAGGGGUUCAGGGCCAGCCUGGGCAACAAAGUGAGACACUAUCUCUA